RNAcentral lists this ribosomal RNA (466 nucleotides) under uncultured bacterium. RNAcentral describes it as "partial 16S ribosomal RNA". It matches the Rfam family "Bacterial small subunit ribosomal RNA", at positions 29 to 507 of the family's 1533-position model. The record is from RNAcentral.
AUGAACGCUGACAGAAUGCUUAACACAUGCAAGUCAACUUGAAUUUGGGUUUUUAACUUAGGUUUGGGUGGCGGACGGGUGAGUAACGCGUAAAGAACUUGCCUCACAGCUAGGGACAACAUUUGGAAACGAAUGCUAAUACCUAAUAUUAUGAUAAUAGGGCAUCCUAUAAUUAUGAAAGCUAUAAGCGCUGUGAGAGAGCUUUGCGUCCCAUUAGCUAGUUGGAGAGGUAACGGCUCACCAAGGCGAUGAUGGGUAGCCGGCCUGAGAGGGUGAUCGGCCACAAGGGGACUGAGACACGGCCAUUACUCCUACGGGAGGCAGCAGUGGGGAAUAUUGGACAAUGGACCGAGAGUCUGAUCCAGCAAUUCUGUGUGCACGAUGAAGUUUUUCGGAAUGUAAAGUGCUUUCAGUUGGGAAGAAACAAAUGACGGUACCAACAGAAGAAGUGACGGCUAAAUACGUG